Molecule: ribosomal RNA, 860 nt
Filed under: Chloroflexota bacterium
Lineage: Bacteria; Bacillati; Chloroflexota
Description: Chloroflexi bacterium partial 23S ribosomal RNA
Rfam family: Bacterial large subunit ribosomal RNA
Source: RNAcentral
UACCCGCGGCAGGACAAAAAGACCCCGUGGAGCUUUACUGUACCCUGGCAUUGUGUUGGGGCCAAAGAUGUGUAGGAUAGGCGGGAGACUGUGAAGUGUCGGCGCCAGCCGGCAUGGAGUCAACCUUGAAAUACCGCUCUUCUCUGGUUUUGAUGCUAACCCCUGAUCAAGCAGGGAGACCGUGUCAGGCGGGCAGUUUGACUGGGGCAGUCGCCUCCCAAAAGGUAAUGGAGGCGUCCAAAGGUUCCCUCAGGGUGGAUGGAAAUCACCCGUGGAGUGCAUUGGCAUAAGGGAGCUUGACUGUGAGGCCUACAAGCCAAGCAGGGACGAAAGUCGGGCAAAGUGAUCCUACGGUACCGUGUGGAAGGGCCGUGGCUUAUCGGAUAAAAGCUACCCCGGGGAUAACAGGCUGAUCCUGCCCAAGAGUUCACAUCGACGGCAGGGUUUGGCACCUCGAUGUCGGCUCAACGCAUCCUGGGGCUGAAGGCGGUCCCAAGGGUCCGGCUGUUCGCCGGUUAAAGGGGUACGUGAGUUGGGUUCAGAACGUCGUGAGACAGUUCGGUCUCUAUCCGCCGUGGGCGCAGGAGGCUUGAGGGAACCUUUCCCUAGUACGAGAGGACCGGGAAGGACAAACCUAUGGUGUUCCAGUUGUUCCGCCAGGAGCAGCGCUGGGUAGCCAUGUUUGGCAGCGAUAAGCGCUGAAGGCAUCUAAGCGCGAAGCAUCCCCCAAGAUUAGGCCUCCCUCCCCGAUUAACUUCGGGGGUAAGACUGCAGCGAGACUAGCUGCUUGAUAGGCCGGAUGUGUAAGGCUGGUAACAGCUUCAGCAAACCGGUACUAACCAGUCGAGUGAUUUGACCCA